Molecule: ribosomal RNA, 468 nt
Filed under: uncultured bacterium
Lineage: Bacteria
Description: partial 16S ribosomal RNA
Rfam family: Bacterial small subunit ribosomal RNA
Source: RNAcentral
GAUGAACGCUGGCGGCGUGCCUAACACAUGCAAGUCGAGCGAUUCUCUUCGGAGAAGAGCGGCGGACGGGUGAGUAACGCGUGGGUAACCUGCCCUGUACACAUGGAUAACAUACCGAAAGGUAUGCUAAUACGAGAUAAUAUGCUUUUAUCGCAUGGUAGAAGUAUCAAAGCUCCGGCGGUACAGGAUGGACCCGCGUCUGAUUAGCUAGUUGGUAAGGUAACCGCUUACCAAGGCGACGAUCAGUAGCCGACCUGAGAGGGUGAUCGGCCACAUUGGAACUGAGACACGGUCCAAACUCCUACGGGAGGCAGCAGUGGGGAAUAUUGCACAAUGGGCGAAAGCCUGAUGCAGCAACGCCGCGUGAGCGAUGAAGGCCUUCGGGUCGUAAAGCUCUGUCCUCAAGGAAGAUAAUGACGGUACUUGAGGAGGAAGCCCCGGCUAACUACGUGCCAGCCGCCGCAGUAA